UACGUAGGCACCAAGCGUUGUCCGGAUUUAUUGGGCGUAAAGAGCUCGUAGGCGGUUCAGUAAGUCGGGUGUGAAAACUCUGGGCUCAACCCAGAGACGCCACCCGAUACUGCUGUGACUUGAGUACGGUAGGGGAGUGGGGAAUUCCUGGUGUAGCGGUGAAAUGCGCAGAUAUCAGGAGGAACACCAGUGGCGAAGGCGCCACUCUGGGCCGUAACUGACGCUGAGGAGCGAAAGCGUGGGUAGCAAACAGG
Molecule: ribosomal RNA, 254 nt
Filed under: uncultured bacterium
Lineage: Bacteria
Description: partial 16S ribosomal RNA
Rfam family: Bacterial small subunit ribosomal RNA
Source: RNAcentral